Molecule: long non-coding RNA, 368 nt
Filed under: Nicotiana benthamiana
Lineage: Eukaryota; Viridiplantae; Streptophyta; Magnoliopsida; Solanales; Solanaceae
Description: long non-coding RNA (NBEN_LNC040159)
Source: RNAcentral
CAUUGAAGACAAUACCGCUGUUAGUCCUUUCAGGCUGCAGAAGGUCACCUUCGCCUACCAUAAUGCUUGAACUACUCGCAGGGACCCUAUAACUGAAAUCUCUUUGAUCAAAUUCUGUAUCUGAACUUCUGUCAGGUGUUGUUACCCUUGGGCUCAGGGAGAAAUGGUCCCUGCCUGCCAUAUAACUGAAAUCUCUUUGAUCAAAUUCAGUAUCUGAACUUCUGUCAGGUGUUGUUACCCUUGGGCUCAGGGAGAAAUGGUCCCUGCCUGCCAUCUGAGGAACAAUAUUGUUGAGGUCAAUAGUCAAUCCUUUGUUCAGUCGCGAACCAAUUUCCAAGUUCUGGACAAAGUCAAUAAACUUAUCAGCU